GGGUUGUAAACUUCUUUUAUAUUAGAAUAAAGUGCAGUAUGUAUACUGUUUUGUAUGUAUAAUAUGAAUAAGGAUCGGCUAACUCCGUGCCAGCAGCCGCGGUAAUACGGAGGAUCCGAGCGUUAUCCGGAUUUAUUGGGUUUAAAGGGAGCGUAGGUGGACUGGUAAGUCAGUUGUGAAAGUUUGCGGCUCAACCGUAAAAUUGCAGUUGAUACUGUCAGUCUUGAGUACAGUAGAGGUGGGCGGAAUUCGUGGUGUAGCGGUGAAAUGCUUAGAUAUCACGAAGAACUCCGAUUGCGAAGGCAGCUCACUGGACUGCAACUGACACUGAUGCUCGAAAGUGUGGGUAUCAAACAGGAUUAGAUACCCUGGUAGUCCACACAGUAAA
RNAcentral lists this ribosomal RNA (388 nucleotides) under uncultured bacterium. Its description in RNAcentral is "bacterial SSU rRNA". It matches the Rfam family "Bacterial small subunit ribosomal RNA", at positions 420 to 806 of the family's 1533-position model. The record is from RNAcentral.